AUGAACUUUGGACCUGCCUCAGCUCACUGGACUGUGAACAGAAUCUGUUCUUGCUCCAAACCUUGCUUUUUUUUUUUUUUUUUUUUUUUUUUUGAUGCUAUAGGGCUGUGCUAUGACCACAGAGGAUGGUGUGUGUGCUCCAGCACCCUAGCUAAUCUUCCCUUGUGGAGUACCUGUGCUUUUGCUUUGGCUGCUGCAGGGCAUUCAGUACAAUUCAGUGAUUGAUUGGAAGCUUCAGAUAAUUUGAAUGUGGAUCUGCGUUUGGACUGGAUCAGGUGCUCAAGAGGAAAUCCAGCCUGCUGCCUUCAGGCCUGCAUGGGGCUGCUGCAACCUCAGUCAUAGCAGGCUGGGAGGCUCUCCAUGAAGACAGAUGGCUUGGCAGACGGGCGUUGUUACCUUGCUGGUUUUAGACAGUGUGGGGAAGAGGAAUGUGGGUGAAGUGAAGGUGUGUAAAAUCUCAGGACUAGCUAAAAGGUUUUUCCCCAAGGAGGCUUUUCUUAUAGCACAAAGGAGCACAAGGACAGUGGAGACUUUGAGGAGAAAAGGUGAAGGACAGAGCGUAUAGAGAAGUGUCACCUGCUGGAAGGGUUGGGAGUGACUCUCAGGAGGGAUGCUGAGGUGUCUGAAAGAUGCUGAGGGCUCUUCAGUGGAGGCACGAAGAUUUAGGUAGGUUAGAUGAACAAGAGAUUAGUACUAAAAUGAACUCUGUAUGUGGGAUUACACUGGUUUGCAGGGUCACAAAGGACUUAGCUGUGACUCAGGCGAGACAUACCAUCAGAUUUCCUGAUUAAAGUUUUUCAACUUUUACUAAAAAUUCUUCACUCUCCAUCAGAAAGCCAGAUGAGGUAUGGAUUUGUGUGUGCCUGUCAGGUGCCUGCUGCUGCCAUGCCAGCCUAUCUUCUGUUGGCAUUCAUUUGGGUAGUUUUCUUCUUUGUCUGCAGCACAAGUAGUUAAUCACUUGGAGAACCUAAUUAGGUGGUAACGAACCCAGGUGUCUUCCUUCUCUCAAUGUAAUAGGACAUCUGCCACUGCUCCAAGAGCACUUAACAAUGACUGACUAACAAUGGCUGUAAUGUAUGGUCAUGAAGAGAGAAUGGUUUCCCUUAGUGCCUCAACUAGGAUGUGGUUCAUUGGGAAAGUCUGAAUUCACAAUUACCUUGCCCUGUGCCAAAAAGGUGUGUUCCUGGCUGCCAUGAAAUGUAAACCCCAUCCAGAAUGGAGUGGG
This 1225-nucleotide long non-coding RNA is filed under the name Phasianus colchicus (ring-necked pheasant). RNAcentral's name for it is "lncRNA (ENSPCLG00000020804.1)". Lineage: Eukaryota; Metazoa; Chordata; Aves; Galliformes; Phasianidae. The record is from RNAcentral.